This is a long non-coding RNA of Leopardus geoffroyi (Geoffroy's cat), 5244 nucleotides long. RefSeq lists it as uncharacterized. The transcript has 6 exons. The record is from RefSeq and is a predicted model, not a curated record. NCBI's taxonomy places the organism in Eukaryota, Metazoa, Chordata, Mammalia, Carnivora, Felidae.
CCGGUUGCCCUGGAGCCCUGUGGAAGCUAAGAAGGCGAGGAGUCUCUGCUCCUUUCCCCUGCCGGAUUUUUGCUUCAGCUGCGGCGCAGUCUGACCGAGCAGCUUCGAGGGUCUUCCGCCAGCGGCUUGUUGGUGCAGUGGAAUCCCCCAGGGAGCUGAGCAGUUCGUGGAAUCUUCUUACCGGUACAGUUUUCACUGUUGCUUGUGUUACAGUGUGAGGCUGGCCUGGGAACUGGUGUGAAGACCGCAGCCCUCGCUGCAGGGGGGCCCAGGGAGCCGGAAAAUCGGUUGCAGCACGCGUGUCUGUGAUGCUCCCCUUUUCUGAGGUCUGCAGCUGCCGCCUGGAGGAGAUCUAGCAGAGCCAUUUAUCAAACACACACAAUUAAGGCCAGCGUUGGCCGAGAUCUAUUCCAGGAGCAGAGCGGAGCGGAGCAGAGCCUGGGGUUGGGGCAAGUGACGCAAGUGACGCAAGUGACGCAAGACGGGUCGUCCAAUCGGACCAAGGUCCUCCAGUGAGGGCGGAGCGAGCGUUGGAGCCUGGGUGGUCAAAUUUAGGCCCUGUGCUUCAGACCUCGCCUGGACAACCAGAUAUGAAAAUAGAGAUUUUUGGCUGAGUGUUGGCCCGGGAGACACCGAGACUGUAGAUAUUAGACAGCAGAGAGAAGGAGGCCAGUUGUCAUGGGAAGAGUUUACCAAAGACAAUUUCGAGAGCUGGUUCCGCGAUUCCCCGGCUCCACGGCCAGAUCAAAGGAGCCUCCACAAGGAAGCGAAGUCCCAGAGGAACGGACCCGUGUAUGUUUGCAUGACGUUUGAUGAGGAGCGGACAGCUGUGGAGGAACGUGAUACCGUGAGGUACGUGUUGUAAACUGCGGGCAUCCAGAGAAGGCUGUUUGUGAGCGUUCUUCUGGGUGAUUCCCUGGUCUUCAGAGAUGAGGACGUUCCUCUCCUCCAGGUCUAAAGAGGGCGCCACUCACAUGGUCUGCUUCACGAAAGAAGGGUGGAGGGGCCGGUGCUCCGACUUAGCCUUCUGACCUGCCAUAUUCUCAGACUCCUUCAGUGUAAAAUACUCAGUAUGCCAAGGUGCCAUACUUUGCGGGGAGUGGGUCUUAGACCCCGUCUCAGGAAACAAACCAAUAUCCUGGGGUGUGCUUUCUGUGGGCACCAAAGCUGCUAAGCCUCUCCAUUUAUUUUGGAGCUCUCCAUUUAUUUUGGAGCUCUCCAUGGGUCUGACCCAAGUUUCGGAACCUACUUUUCUUAUCUCUUCUAACCCUCCUUCCUCGACACACGCACACUCUCCACCUUUAGCUCUUUGGAGCCAUAGAGUUAUGAAAUGUCAGACUAUGAAAGAGGCCCUGGGCCAGAAACGACACACACCUUCCUGACGAUGCGCAAGACAGACGUUACCAAUGCAUCAUGGUAAUGUCCCAUGAAGCUCCGUGUCUACCUCAGAAUCCUUCCCAACCCAGCAUUCCUGUGAGACAAAGUCUAGUUUACAGAUGCUUUCUUUGAAGCUUUAAAAGUCAACUCUGAAUCCCAGAGAAAUGAAGUCACUCUUCCAAGGUCACACGGCCGCUGGGUGACUAGGGGAAGAUGGGCAACAGGCUCUCCUACCCGGGCCUUUGCUCUCUCUCUCUCUCCUGAGCCAGGGUUUCUGAGACUUUGCCCAUUUAUUCACUGUCUUCUCGGACCUCGUUGUCUUGACCGGCGAUCUCUCGCCGUCUCAUUCUUCAUCCACCGCCCACGGACUACCACGUGGUUUACAAGACCCCAGACCCUUCUCAGACAGAAUCUUAGCGAGUGGCUGAUCCACACGGAGCCACGGCCAAGAGAAGCAGCUUUGUUUGGGAUGCGAUCCACAUCGGGAAAGAAUGCACCCAUCCUGCGGUCCAGAUCUCUCCCCAACGGCUGGAAUCGAGGGCCCGGAGUCCCCGCGGCCAUCCAUGACCACUGAGACGGCCCAGGCUGGGGGCCCGUGUUGUUUUGUUAUGACGGCUUAUCCUGCCGUGAGCCGUUCUGUGCCCCUCGCUGACCGCUCACCUUCUGGUGCAGGCAUCGGCUCAGCGAUGAAGAAAUGCACAAGCCCGCGGGCCAUCACCGGCAAAUGUCCGGUUUUCAUGCUGCCUGGAGGGUGCGGUUUCUGGGGCAGUCCAAGGUACCCCAGGUGCACCAAGGGAUGACGGGGAACCCACAGGAAGGGACACCUGAUAAGCCAGGAGAAGGUUCAGAAGGAUGGAAAGGUUGCUCUGUAGCGAGGGAACGGCAGCAACGAACGCACAGAGGCGUAAGGGAGCGGUGAGUUUAGGAGCAAUACAGACAUUUCCGAUUGUUGGAGGUAUGCUGUGAGGCCGGGGCAAGUGGCAGGUGACGGAGUGGAGAGAGAGAAAAAGGAAACGAGCCAGCGAGCAAAAAGUAUCCGUAACAUGCCACACGGUAAUAGGAGCAAAGGCAAAAGUCAAGCAGAGGUGGGGACAGAGCUGGGGAUGCUGUAGGUAGGUGGGUGGUCAGGGAGGGCUUCUCUGAGGAAGGGACAUUUGAGCCGCCGUGUGAGCUGUGCAAGGGUCCUCUCCCACCUGAUCUCAUCUGGUCCUCGUGACCGCGUGAAAGGAAGGCCGCAGACAAGGACCCUACCGCCCCAGGGCUGGGCCUGGGCUGGGGAGUGAGUUUGAGGCAGAGCGGGGCCCAGGAUCCGGCGCUCCAGACACCCAAGGCAGGGGUCCUUCGAGCUCAGAGUGGCCUCCUCCGCCAAAUGUGGGCUUCGGCCCAGCCCAAGACCUCUCCUCGGUCUCUGCAGCCUUGUCACCCACGACCCUACCCAGCAGCAAGACGAGGUUAAGACGGGCUCUGACAUCAGACAGGUGCAGCUCUAAUUCCAGUCUCUCCUAUUAGCUGCUUCAUCUGGAGCAAGGAAGCCUCAGUGUUUUCCCCCGUGAAAGGGGGUAAUCGAGCAUCUUUCUCGUGGAACACCGGACGGUACAAGCAAAGCCCUUAGCACCGCGCCCGGCACACGUAGACGGGGCUUAUGGAACGCGAGGUACCGGCCAUCUUGGCGCACAGGGCUCCCCCGCCUCCUCGAACCAUCUGAGUGAUGACCACACGGCCGCUGCCCUCGGCUGGGCCCUGGCGGGCUUGGCUCGGUGCGACAGGUCGGGCUGUUGUAGAGCGACCCCAGCCCCCUUGUCUCGAGGUGGGACCCGCUGUGUCCCUUCUAUGCCCUGUCACAUCUGAUGCACCCUCCUCGCCUUCCCUUCUGUUUGCCCGGUGCUUCCUGCUUUCAGACCUGCUCACUUUGCUCCCUAAUAGGCAUCGCUGACAGACAUUAUGUUUAGUUCCUUGUUCCCUUACGGCCGUCUCCCCUGACAGAAGUUGGACACCCCGAUGACGGAGAUUCGGGGCGCUCUGUGCGCGGCUGCAGGUCUGGCGCCCAGAACGUGACCGACUCCCAGUAGGUCCUGGAAACAUGGUGGUUGAACGGGUGGAUGAAGAAAUGGAACAAAUGCGCCGUGGAUGUCCGUGGCCACGGGCCAUCUCCCCGGACAGCCUGUGUUAUUUUCUUUCAGGCCACGGCUGCAGAAGGUCAAGGGUCUGGUCCAUUUCCUUAGCCAUCCUGACCUUGGCCCGAAGGCACUCGGCCCUGGGCACGGGAGGGCCUCCUUCCAUGCACCCGUGUUCCCUCCAGGCCAGCGCAAGGGGGACCCUGUCUUUCUUCCUAGCUCUCAGGCCAGGUCCAUGAGGAGACAACAGGAGGGGAAGACAGAUAAGCCUAUGAGGCCUCUGGGGACCCAGAAGGGCCCACGUCUGCACCUGUCACCCCUACUGCACGGCCCUGCUCCUCACUCCAUCACCACUUCAGUCUCCGUUAAGAAACUGGCGGUGGAGUCCGAAUCCCCAGGGGUUUGGACUCGUGGGCGCCACGUGCAGCGAUGAUCCCGCCAGCCUCGAAAUCAGGCCCAUGGAGCCCCACCCGCGGGUGCAGGAGGCGGGGAGAGUGGGACAGGGGGCAAUAUGGGGCAGUGCGACUCAGUCGAGGGGCCGCAGCCCAAACAGCAGCUGUUUCCGUGAUUCAGCAAAGAGCCGGGUGGGGGUGCUGAUGGCUGGGGCGGGCCGGGACUGGAGCUGAGUGAGAGGAGUCAGGGAAGGGGGGGGGGGUGGGACACGGGUCACCCUGCACGCAGGCCCGCAGCCACUACUUUUGGGUCCUGCCCCCGCAUCACCUUGGCCCCGUGGGCCUGCCUUCACCCCCGUGGCCUGUUGCCACAUGUAGGUUUCACUGUUAUCCAGGUAUGGUGAGGCCAGCAGAUCGGGGCAUAGUCUGCCGCCCGCAGAUCCCACGAGGAGGGGACCGUCACAUCAUGGGGAGCCACGCAGGGAAGCAGCAGGCGGGUCAGGACGCAGCGCGAGUGGGAGGGAAGCGUAGGGGCAAGACCCUGUAUUGUGGUUUCCGCAGGGAAGAGUGGGUGGGCAGGUAAGCAGGCGAGUUUGAGUAAUUUCAUUGGGCUCUGGGGCCCAGGAACUGUCGCUAGUUGUCUGGUAUCUGGCCCCGGGGUGAUUAGGACAGGUGGGUAGCGGCCCAGAUAUGAGGGAUAAAUGAGGUGGCUGUAAUAUGUCUCUGUUUGGGUUGCCCCUAACAGGCACACUCACAGGCCAGUGGUUUGCGCUCUCAAGGAACUGGCCAGCCCAGGGCGGGGUCGUCCCUCCAGGGUCACAAAGGCCCCAGAUGUCAGAGCAUCAGAAAUGCAUGGGUAAUACACACCCCCUACCCUCGUUCUCCAGACUCCCCUGGGGGCGGCACUCGGGCCACGGUUGAGCCCCAGCGCCGGUCUGACGACUGGGGGGAGGGGGGGGGCUCUUGGCAAAUGGUGGGUGGAUGAGGGGCCACCAUGGACCAGGCACGGUGCCGGGCACUGGGGGACAGAACAGUGAACAAGAAGGCAAGAUCUCUCCUCUCAAGGAUUUUAUGCCCUGGAGGCACGGCGGACCCCGAACCAGUAAACAAACAGAUAAACGAGAGGGGGCCUCGGUUACUGGGAAGUGCGAUGGCGAAAUGAAACGCCAAGAUGUUACGGCCUCCGGGCAGGAUGGAAGGAGAGGGGCUCCAUCGGGAAGGGCGGUCAGCGUAGCCUCUCUGAGGAGGUGACCGUUGGGCUGAGACCUGAAUCUUGACAAGGAGCCACGCAAAGAUUUCGGGGCAGAAUAUUUUAGCGGGGGGAAAACGCGAAGGAACGAAUAAAUGAAAGACCAAAUCCG